RNAcentral lists this long non-coding RNA (670 nucleotides) under Homo sapiens (human). Its description in RNAcentral is "uncharacterized LOC101929269 (LOC101929269)". The record is from RNAcentral. Lineage: Eukaryota; Metazoa; Chordata; Mammalia; Primates; Hominidae.
CAAGAUGAAGCAGUGUCGCACAGCCCUGUCGCCUCACUCAUCCUGCCCUCAGGUCUUGUUUCUGCCUCUUCACAGCACCACCCCCAUGAAGCUUCCACAUGCACCUCUGCAGACCCAUCUCGCACGAUGCAGUGGGAGCGAGCCCUUGUGGUGAGGUGACAACGGCCCACAUAUCCCUCAGUGCUGGGGGAUGGGAGUGUGGGUUCCGGGGACCACUGUGUGCAGACACCCGUAGCUCAGGAGUCCAAAUGCCAAUUUGUGGCUGGCAUUCCAUGUGAGGAUUCAAGAACCCAGGCUCCUCCAUCCUCCAUCUCCAGGGGCUCUGGAGUCCUUCACUUCUAGCCAAUGCAUGAAGAAAGAGAAUAGAGAAUUACCUGUGGGGGAAUUUCAGUACGACGUCUGGAAGGGACACCCACUUCCACUCACCUCCCAUUGGCUAGAACUCAGGCGCACGGCCACGCUGAUUGCCGAGGAGGCUGGGAGGUGGGGCUGGCUCUGUGCCCAGGGAAAAGAGAGAACAAUUUCUGUAAGUACGUAGCUGUUUAUGUCACAGUAUUUAAAAAAAGAGUUUGUUCCAUAAAAUAGAUGAAACUCUAACUAAAAACCAGAUCACAUUAAAGAGUAAUUAUGUUUAAAAAAAAAAAAAAAAAAAAAAAAAAAAAAAAAAAAA